GCCGCCACACGAUCUCAUGAGGUCAUAUCAAACCGCAUACCCAAAAGCCAUAUCCUGAAUGGUCGGCUGCCUGUGAUCCUGUUUGGUUGGCCUAGCCCUCGAUCAGCCAAGGUAGAAAGAAGAUAGAAUGUUUUCGAUCGAAUGAUCUUUGAUUGGCCUGACUUUUAGGGAUGACCUUUGAUCAGCUUGAUCAUUGAUCGGCCCUAUGUCAAAAGGA
RNAcentral lists this long non-coding RNA (217 nucleotides) under Elaeis guineensis (African oil palm). RNAcentral's name for it is "long non-coding RNA (EGUI_LNC012171)". Lineage: Eukaryota; Viridiplantae; Streptophyta; Magnoliopsida; Arecales; Arecaceae. The record is from RNAcentral.